GCAAGCGGCGAGCUUGCUGCAUCGCGCGUGACCGGCCACGCACUUUAUGUCAGUCACGUCGGGUUGCGUCGCCAAUGCGAAGUUUGCAGGCGUUAAAUCGCCCUGUUGUGCGCUGCUUUGUGCGGUUGCGAUAAGUACAAGCAAUGGCGAUGCGCGGUUUUACUUCGCAUUUCGAGCGUGGUGUGCUGGUGUGGCAAGUGGCGGUGUGGGAUUGGCGCGGCGACGA
RNAcentral lists this small RNA (226 nucleotides) under Xanthomonas campestris pv. campestris. RNAcentral describes it as "ncRNA of unknown function". The record is from RNAcentral. Lineage: Bacteria; Pseudomonadati; Pseudomonadota; Gammaproteobacteria; Lysobacterales; Lysobacteraceae.